Molecule: transfer RNA, 52 nt
Filed under: Rhinotergum shaoguanense
Lineage: Eukaryota; Metazoa; Arthropoda; Arachnida; Trombidiformes; Diptilomiopidae
Description: tRNA-Ser
Source: RNAcentral
UUAAAGAAAUUAAAUUGAAGCUUCUAACUUCUGUCAACAAAAUUUCUAAAAG